Molecule: transfer RNA, 73 nt
Filed under: Nitrososphaeria archaeon
Lineage: Archaea; Thermoproteati; Nitrososphaerota; Nitrososphaeria
Description: tRNA-Met
Rfam family: tRNA (bases 7-65)
About the family: Transfer RNA (tRNA) molecules are approximately 80 nucleotides in length. Their secondary structure includes four short double-helical elements and three loops (D, anti-codon, and T loops).
Source: RNAcentral
GCGCCGAAUAUAGCCCGGCCAAGUAUGCGGGCCUCAUAAGCCCGAGACCCGGGUUCAAAUCCCGGCCGGAGCA